AGAAAAAGACCUUGUUCCUUGACCUUCCAUACUUCGUGAAAGAGCUAAACCCAAGCCAAGCACAUAGCAGUCCUCUCCAGAGAACUACGGAAAAUUCAUGUGACCUCCCAGAGCCAGAGUUUCCUUCCAGGGAAACUGGGAUUCAGCUGACUGCCUGCCUUCCUCCCUGUCCGGUUGUGAGGCUCAGAGCCUGCUGAAGAGGAAGUACAGCCCUGUGUACAGAGAGAUGGGGGCUCUGCUAGCUCACCCACUCUCUGCCAGGAUGCCUGCUUCCCUUUUCUCUGUGUUCACCCACGUCCUGGAGGCUCCACUGUGAUCACAGUUAAUUAUGGAUGGAUCAGACAAGGAGCAGCCUCUAGAGACCCCUGAAAACAAAGUGUGCAGUCAGCAUGGACAGAGGACUGUCAACCAACUGAGGAAGAAGGAGACUAACUGGGACAGGGCAAGAAGAGAACUUUGGUAUCUAAUAUAAUAUGAGGGUACUUGUCAUAAGAAAGAAACAAAUCCUAACAUUUUCAACAACAUAGAUGGAGCUGGAGGACAUUAUGCUCAGUGAAAUAAGCCAGGCGGAGAA
Long non-coding RNA from Manis javanica (Malayan pangolin), 574 nucleotides. RefSeq lists it as uncharacterized. The record is from RefSeq and is a predicted model, not a curated record. Lineage: Eukaryota; Metazoa; Chordata; Mammalia; Pholidota; Manidae.